Molecule: unclassified non-coding RNA, 268 nt
Filed under: Coenogonium luteum
Lineage: Eukaryota; Fungi; Ascomycota; Lecanoromycetes; Ostropales; Coenogoniaceae
Description: partial contains 5.8S ribosomal RNA, internal transcribed spacer 2, and large subunit ribosomal RNA
Source: RNAcentral
CGCACAUUGCGCCCUCUGGUAUUCCGGGGGGCACGCCUGUUCGAGCGUCAUUGAAUCGAUCAAGCCCGGCUUGGUAUUGGGUGCUCCCGCUCCUCGUGGGACCCCCGAAAUGCAGCGGCUCGGUCGCCCGGGGAAGAACGCACUGGAGUCUCGCGACUAUCGUUCUCGCCUCUCGGGUGAUCGUUGCCGUCGAACGCGGUCCGGCAGCCGCCGGCCACAAUUUCAGAAAAUUGACCUCGGAUCAGGUGGGAAUACCCGCUGAACUUAA